CAGUGUUUCUCCAGUUUGUCGAAGGUUGCAGACAUUAAUUCCUGUGCAUCUCUCUUAUGGCCCGACCACAGCAUUUCUGGCCCUGAAGAUGAAAGCCUGAGUUGACAAAGACGCAUCAUUACCAAACUUCUCUGAUCCCAGUUUCAGGUUGCGUUGGAACAGAAGCUUGGUGGAUUAGAAAGCUGCUAACAUGUCCCAGAAAGACCUAAACAAAAAACCUUACUUGAAAAGAUUGUAAAAAGCUGGGCUUCCAGUGUAAUAAGCCGUCCCUUUUUGUUUUUUUACUCUGUGUAAUGUGGUGGAGUUUAUAGAAAGGUUUUAUAUUUUAUGUAUAAAAGUACUGAAUCCUGCAAGCAUUCCAGGUGUUAAACUACUGAGGUCUACAGGUCUAAAAAGUGCAUGAAAUACAGUUUUAUUUCAAAAUCCUUUCCACUAUUACUGAGAGAAGAUGAUUUUUUUUUUAAAGGAAAUCCAACCAAAAAGAUUUUGCACACUCAGUUCACUAAGCUCAGAUUUGAUCAAAUAUUUCAUUUGUUCAACAACUUUUCCUUCAUUUCAUGCAUUAUGUUGAUCAAGUUCUAAGUAGACAGGACUAGGUUAAAAAAAUCCACUUUUAAUAUUUUUAGCUGCAUCAUUCCAGCUUGGUAUAGGUACAACACCCAAGUAUGAUUUUUCACAUUUGAAUGUAAUUUUAGGUCCAUAUAUAUUAUUAGCAUGCUCAUACACAUUUUCCCAAUGUACAAUUAUAAUUUGGCAGCCCAAGAAAUG
Molecule: long non-coding RNA, 768 nt
Organism: Poecilia latipinna (sailfin molly)
Lineage: Eukaryota; Metazoa; Chordata; Actinopteri; Cyprinodontiformes; Poeciliidae
Exons: 3
Source: RefSeq, a predicted model, not a curated record